GGUGAAAACACCAUUUAUCUUCCAUGGAGCUGCCAUUCACCAACCUGGAGGUGGCGUUCAUUUUACUGGCUUUCCUCAUCUUUUCCUUGUUUACUCUGGCUUCCAUCUACACCAACCCGAAUGAGAGGAAUGAAGAUGAGGACCUCCACCUAAAGGAAAAGAGAAGGAAAAGAAAAGAGUUUAAAAAGAAAAAAUGCUCAGAGGAAGAACACAGAAUUGAAACAAUGUAACCAUGACCCCGGCCACCUGUGAAUGCACAGAGGCUCCCCUCAGAAUGCCUGCUGGGAUUGCUCAAGGCCCCCAAGACCAAGGACAUUAAAACAGUCUUCAGAUCAUAAUCACUAGGACUCAACACGGGGAACCAGGCUUCAUACUUUCUUUUUGACAUCCUUGUUCCAAGAUAUUUAUAAUGCCGAUUAUGAGCACUUGCUGUAAUAAAAAGGAAUACAGUUGAAGUAAAAUCUUUCAAGAAAGAGAAAAUAUAUGUAUUAUAAUCUAACUAGAGACAAUAACAGUCUCAGUGGUAGAGUACUUGUCCAGCAUGCUUAAGACUGAGUUUGAUCUCCAGCUCUGACCAAAAAUAAAAAGGAGGGGGUACAUAAAUAAAUAAAUAGAUGGGAUGC
Molecule: long non-coding RNA, 623 nt
Filed under: Rattus norvegicus (Norway rat)
Lineage: Eukaryota; Metazoa; Chordata; Mammalia; Rodentia; Muridae
Description: long non-coding RNA NONRATT011460
Source: RNAcentral